CACCGCGGUUAUACGGGAGACCCAAGCUGACAGUCACCGGCGUAAAGAGUGGUUAAUUACACCUAAAAACUAAAGCCAAACGUCUCCAAAGUUGUUUAACGCAUUCGGAGAUAUGAAGCUCAACUACGAAAGUGGCUUUACACUCUUUGAACCCACGAAAGCUAGGGAA
This 169-nucleotide ribosomal RNA is filed under the name Apogon sp. FLMOO_689. Its description in RNAcentral is "partial small subunit ribosomal RNA". Lineage: Eukaryota; Metazoa; Chordata; Actinopteri; Kurtiformes; Apogonidae. The record is from RNAcentral.